ACUAGCAUCAUUUUCAUUUAUAUGGAUGCAUUUGAAUUGGUUCUUGUAUGAAAAAGGCAAAUAGUGCUGAACAAGAAUCUUGGAUGAAAUCUUGUAGGGAAAAAGUGGAUGUCAAGUAAGGUUGCCAUCAAGUAAAAGUUAAGGUUACAAUUUAUUUUGAUGGUCCACUUUAGACAAUCUGUAACUUUGCAACUACAUGUCAACUAACUCUCAUUAGAGUAUUAGACUGUAGACUGUUAGGUUAGGGUUUGGGUUAGAAGAAUAAGUUGACGUAGUUGCAAAGUUAUUUAUAAUCAGUAGAAUGACUGUUGGUGGAGCAUCAAAAUAAGGUCUUGGCAGAUAUUAAGCAGACAGCCUACUAAUACUCUAAUGACUGCUAAUUGACAUGUAAUUGCAAAGUUACUUUAAGUUAGCAGAAUGUCUAAAGUAGACCAUCAAAAUAAAGUUUUACCAAAAUGAAUAACAUAAUGACAUUUACACCUUACACCUAUGUCAAUAUGUAAACUAUUUAACUUGUCUAACUGAUUAUCAAGUAAUUGACUGCUGAUGAAUUAUUCACUGAAAUAGUGCUUCAAUAUGGAUUUUAUAACUUCAUUUUUAAUUUGUUUUUCAGUUUGUUUGUACAUCUCUUUUACAACUCCUCUUCUCAGGUUCAUAUAUUAAAAUAUAUUUUUGGGCUUGCCAUCCAGUCAGUCAGGGGAAGAAUUGUCAGCAGAUGUAGGGGGGAGCUAUUACGCAUAACUGAAAGAGUGCAGACUCUCCGGAUCAAAACACAGGUGAAGAAGCAGAAAAAAGCGAUAGAGACAUUGCUUACGCAAAUGUAAAAUAAUGCGAUCAUCAAAAUUAAACAGCAUAUAAAUCAAAACUGCCUAACAUAACCAAAUGAAAUGUCAAACCCAUAAAUAGGAAACGACUGUGAAGCUUUGGGGUGUUGAUAAACUCAGUCUACUCCAUCUAUGUUUUUGAACAUCGUCUGAAUUCAAAAACAAAAUCGUUUGACAAAAAUGCCAUUUUCUUAGCUUUUGCUCAAAAUGUUGCCCUUUUUUUAAUGAAAUUACCCACAUUCGAGUGUUGUGAAUAAAAAAAAGAAUGCAUGAUGCUAGAAUUUUUUUUUCUUUCUUUCUUUCUUUCUUUCUUUUGAUAUAUUGUAUGUUCAGAUAUUCAUACAACAAAAUAUUCUGGGGGCCAUGAUUUUAUUUUUUUUUUAAAUUGAUUAAAAAAAAAAUGCUACCACUGGUUGGCAGUAAAAAAAUUUUUUUUAAAAACUGGCGGGGAAAGACUUAAAAAGCUUGGAUUUUUGAAAUGUUAUUCCAUUAUUGUCAUCUUGUUUGUUUCUA
Long non-coding RNA from Ctenopharyngodon idella (grass carp), 1337 nucleotides. RefSeq lists it as uncharacterized. Lineage: Eukaryota; Metazoa; Chordata; Actinopteri; Cypriniformes; Xenocyprididae. The transcript is spliced from 3 exons. The record is from RefSeq and is a predicted model, not a curated record.